This 392-nucleotide ribosomal RNA is filed under the name uncultured bacterium. RNAcentral describes it as "bacterial SSU rRNA". It matches the Rfam family "Bacterial small subunit ribosomal RNA", at positions 28 to 420 of the family's 1533-position model. The record is from RNAcentral.
GACGAACGCUGGCGGCGUGCUUAACACAUGCAAGUCGAGCGGUAAGGCCCUUUCGGGGGUACACGAGCGGCGAACGGGUGAGUAACACGUGGGUGACCUGCCCUCAGCUCUGGGAUAAGCCUGGGAAACCGGGUCUAAUACUGGAUAUGACUCCAUGACGCAUGUUGUGGGGUGGAAAGCCUUGUGCGGCUGAGGAUGGGCCCGCGGCCUAUCAGCUUGUUGGUGGGGUGANGGGCCUACCAAGGCGACGACGGGUAGCCGGCCUGAGAGGGCGACCGGCCACACUGGGACUGAGACACGGCCCAGACUCCUACGGGAGGCAGCAGUGGGGAAUCUUGCGCAAUGGGCGAAAGCCUGACGCAGCGACGCCGCGUGAGGGAUGACGGCCUGGU